RNAcentral lists this unclassified non-coding RNA (1881 nucleotides) under Hevea brasiliensis (rubber tree). Lineage: Eukaryota; Viridiplantae; Streptophyta; Magnoliopsida; Malpighiales; Euphorbiaceae. The record is from RNAcentral.
UUUUUUUUUUUUUUUUUUUAAUUUCUUUUUUUUUUUUUUUGGCAAUUCUACUAAAUUCCAAUGAUUCUCCGCUUGAUUUACAUUUCCUACAUGUUAAUGCAAUCUUCACCCUUUUAUUUAAGAAACUAUCAUUUACUUUUGUGUCAGCCUCCUAUCAGAAACCAGAAAACACUGCCAGAUAAUUUUAGAAAGAAUGGAAGAAACUUGAGGUAAGCAAGGAACCAAACAGCUAUCAGCAACAUAAGUAUGAAAAAAUAUGCUUACCAACAAGUGUUAUAUGUAACAAAGGUCAAUUGUAUUUAUUGAAUAACAGGAGUCAAUCAUACCCCUCUCCUUUAGAGGGAUGAUCUUUUUCAUGUGAUAGUGAGAAUGAGAACUGCCUCAAAUUACAAUCGGUGGCUAAACCUAAAGAGCAGGAUGCAUAUAUAGUUUACAAGGACAUGAAGCUAUACAACAAAAUGCCCAAAUGGCAUCAGCAUAUAGAAUGGACACUAGGCUUGGGCCAGCUUAAAUAGUCCUUUUCUUUCUUUCUUCAUAUUUUAGUAAUGAUGAUGGUUUUGUUGUCAUGUUGACCCUAAAAUUAGACCGAUAUGCCCAAGUAAAAAUACAACCAAUGUAAUUGAAUGCUGGAUCUACUCAAGAGCUCGGAGAAACUCCAUGUUAAUGACACAAAGCAAAAGCAUAUUAACCAUCAAGAACCUAGAUAAAGAAAACCAAUUGUGCAUUUGAAACUUAUGUAUUAUUGAGGUCCAAUUUUAAGUUUAAAAUUUUGAUACAUCUUAACACUGAAAAACAAUCCAAACAAACAGCACUGAUAUGAAACAUCCACAACACAAGCAAGUCCAGGAAUAACAUUCACCAGCGAAGUGGGCAUCAUGUGAGUAGGACUUGGUGAUACUAAAAAAAUACCACCCAAAAUAAGAGCCAAUAGUUGACUAUGAACUGGUUUCCACAUCAACUGAAAUACAAUAUGCUAAAAAGUGUUACCGAACAUAAAGGGGCAAAGCAAGAACAGUGGGAGACCAAAAACUAAAAUGUACAAUUUUCUUGUGAGUAAGCCUUUUCCAAUCAAGUGACAGGAGACCAAAAACUGCCUCAAAUUACAAAAUGGGGAACAGGAAAACAUAGUUAACAAGGACAGGAAGCUAACUAGACAGCAAAAUUCCCCAAUGGCAUCAGUAUAAGUUGUAUGGAAGUUAGGCCUGUCUCAGUGUUUUUUUAUAAAUAUAUAUAUUUUUUUCAUUCUUUUUUGUUCUUCAUUUAUUAUUUGCAAAAGAGGAUGAUAUUCAUGUUAUAUUGAACCCUACAAUUUGGAUUGAUAAGCUCAGAUACAAAUAGUCAUACGUAAAUGAACACUGACUCCACUCAAGAGCUCAGAAGACCGUGAUGUUAUCAAGAAUCCAGAUAAAGAAAAAGAAAACCAAAUGUGCAUUAAAACUACUGUUUAUUUGGAUCCAUUUUUUUUAUAUUUAAAUAACUGGAAAAGAUUGAAAUUGUGAAGAGAAGUCAAAAAAGAAACAAAAUGGAUAUUAAACAUCCACAGCUUGCAAAAAAUAUCAAGAACAACUUUCACCUAAUAGGGCAACAUUUGGGUAAGAUGCUGUAAACCUAUACAUCUCAGCUAAAAUACUAAAUUGCAGAACACGAACCAAUAGUUUACAAUAAUUGAAAUACACCAUGAUAAAAAGGGUAUUGACCAUUGUCAGCAAAGCCACAACAAACUAAAGGGAUAAUCUCAAAAGAAAGGAAGUUAAUGCUUUAUCAUCUCUAGUAAGAAGAUCUGUUUAAUAUCUCUAGACAUAGAUGAUCAAACAUGCUAAAAAAGGGUAUUGAACAUAUAAAGGCUAAGCAGCAACAAACUACGGGGACAAUCUCAAAAGG